CGCGUAGGCGGAUUAAUAAGUCAGUGGUGAAAGCCUCUCGCUCAACGGGAGAACUGCCAUUGAUACUGUUAGUCUUGAGUAUGGUUGAGGUGGGCGGAAUGUGUCAUGUAGCGGUGAAAUGCUUAGAUAUGACACAGAACACCAAUUGCGAAGGCAGCUCGCUAAGCCAUAACUGACGCUGAGGCACGAAAGCGUGGGGAGCAAACAGAAUUAGAUACCCUGGUAGUCC
Molecule: ribosomal RNA, 229 nt
Filed under: uncultured bacterium
Lineage: Bacteria
Description: partial 16S ribosomal RNA
Rfam family: Bacterial small subunit ribosomal RNA
Source: RNAcentral